GCGACCCCAGGUCAGGCGGGACUACCCGCUGAAUUUAAGCAUAUAAA
RNAcentral lists this ribosomal RNA (47 nucleotides) under Poa compressa. RNAcentral describes it as "partial 26S ribosomal RNA". The record is from RNAcentral. Lineage: Eukaryota; Viridiplantae; Streptophyta; Magnoliopsida; Poales; Poaceae.